Molecule: ribosomal RNA, 616 nt
Filed under: uncultured bacterium
Lineage: Bacteria
Description: bacterial SSU rRNA
Rfam family: Bacterial small subunit ribosomal RNA (bases 1-518)
Source: RNAcentral
CCUACGGGAGGCAGCAGUGGGGAAUAUUGGACAAUGGGCGAAAGCCUGAUCCAGCAAUGCCGCGUGAGUGAUGAAGGCCUUAGGGUUGUAAAGCUCUUUUACCAGGGAUGAUAAUGACAGUACCUGGAGAAUAAGCUCCGGCUAACUCCGUGCCAGCAGCCGCGGUAAUACGGAGGGAGCUAGCGUUGUUCGGAAUUACUGGGCGUAAAGCGUACGUAGGCGGUUAUUCAAGUCAGAGGUGAAAGCCUGGAGCUCAACUCCAGAACUGCCUUUGAAACUAGAUAGCUAGAAUCUUGGAGAGGUGAGUGGAAUUCCGAGUGUAGAGGUGAAAUUCGUAGAUAUUCGGAAGAACACCAGUGGCGAAGGCGACUCACUGGACAAGUAUUGACGCUGAGGUACGAAAGCGUGGGGAGCAAACAGGAUUAGAUACCCUGGUAGUCCACGCCGUAAACGAUGAUAACUAGCUGUUCGGGCUCUACGAGCUUGAGUGGCGCNGCUACGACAUUAAGUUAUCCGUCCGUCGGGGAGGUACGGUCGCGAAGAAGUUAAAACGUUAAAACGGUAAAGUUAGUACGGCGUGAGACGUCGCCGACGGACGACGACGAGGGAGGUUAGG